AUUCUAAAAGGUCUGCUGAACACCAACCACGCACUAGGGACAAUGACAUGGAGGAACAGGAUGACCAGGUGAGUAUCAAGUUGGCACUAGUGUUUGAUCGAUGUAGGGUUUUUAAAUUGGUUUUCGUUUGUCCAAUGUAGUAAUUUCUUAUACGUUUUUCAAUGUAGGGCGUCGAACAAUUCCGUGUAGUAAAACAUCAGAAACGGAAGGCGUCCACACAUGUUGUAGUUUGAGGGGCAGACGCUUCAUCUUCUGCAGCAGCUAAUGAGGUAGUUUUUAGUUGUAUUUUUUUUGUCAUUCCACUUUUUCGCUUGAUAUGUGUGUAUAUCUAGUUCCUUUUUCUCAUAGCACAUGUACUUUUAGUUUUUGUCUACAAAGUCAGACAAUAUACCUAUUUGUGUAGUUUUUUCAUAGUGUACAGCAAAAAAUUAUGUGUUUAAUAGCAUGAUUUAAUAGUACGGCAGUGUUCUACUCAUUUAGUUGCACAAUUUUUUCAUGGGGAGUAUCCAGUUUCUGUCUCUUUUUUUGCACAUCAUAGUUCAAUGAGUUGCACAUAAGUGUUUUGCCGGUUGCACAGUGGAUGUAUCAAAGUUGGCAACCAGCAAACUGAGCAUUAUAUCUUUGUGUUUUUUCCUCAUAGUUGCACAAGAUUAUAACAUAGUUUGGCAGUGCUUACUCAUUUACUUGCACAAGGCAAACUCAAAUUUUUGGGAUAGUCAUUGCAGAAACUCCUUUUUCUGACAGUUGCACAAGAUUAUAGCAUAGUUGGCAGUGCUUAGUCAUCUAGUUGCGCAAGGGACAGUGAAGUUUUUGGCAGUUCUUAGUUCUUACUGAAAACAUUUGGUUCACCUAUUCUUCUACAUAGUUUUAUUUUUUAAAAUAUCAAAUGAAGGGGAAUCACCGGCCUUUUUUAGUUGGCAUGGUUAGUUAUAUACUUGCACAAGUUUUCACUCAAUUGUUCUUUUUUUAUACCCAGGAUGUCAACGCAGAAGUUGAGAUGAAUGAAGGAGAGAAUCCAGACUGCCCGUCACAGCCUGGUAGGAUAAGGGCGUCCCCGGGGAGAUUUGUCAAGUUGAAUAAAGAAUUGACUCCAAUGCAAGGAGCAAAUUUGUGUGAGAGGCUAUUCGGGGGGUCUUCUGAACGUAGCUGAGACAUUGCCUACGGAGCUGACCAAGUACCUAGUGCAGUGCUACAAACCAAAAACUUCAGAAACCACAGCCGUCACAAUUGCACAUGUUUGCUAGUAUAGUUGGUACAUCGAGGCUUCUCUAGUUGCACAUAGUAUGCAAAAGUUGGCACAUGAAGGUUUUCACCUAGUUUCACAUGUUUUUGCUGGUUUUAUGGUCCAUCAAUCUUCUGUCUUUUUCACCCCCAAAAUUGCACAUACUAUGCAAAAGAUGGUACAGGAGUUCAUACAUAACACAUAGUAAAGGGGGGCCUGUUGGCUUUAGUGCUU
Molecule: long non-coding RNA, 1456 nt
Filed under: Triticum aestivum (bread wheat)
Lineage: Eukaryota; Viridiplantae; Streptophyta; Magnoliopsida; Poales; Poaceae
Description: long non-coding RNA (TAES_LNC026578)
Source: RNAcentral